AAGGAUUAGAGAUAAAUUUCUCUAGCCACGUGAGGAAUGAAAUAGGGCACUUUUUUUUUAAAUAUCAGGGAGGUUCCAUAUGGUCAAGCACAGCCAGAGUGGUGGACAUCCUGACAGGGCAGUUCAGAGAGCAGCAGCUCCGGAAGAAAUGGGCCAAAGUCCAUAGAGAGAGGGAGCAGAAAAGAGGACAGAGUCACACUCCUGAACAACCAGAACAGUUUUCCAGUGUCCUCAUCUGCAGAAAUACCAGAUGAUCCAAAACAGAUUCUUUUUUUUUUUUUUUUUUUUCUGAGACAGAGUCUCACUUUGUUGCCAAGGCUGGAGAUCAAUGGCAUGCAAUUUUGGUUUACUGCCACCUCUGACUCCUGGGUUCAAGCGAUUUUCCUGCCUCAGCCUCCUGAGUAGCUGGGAUUACAGGAUGAAGGCGCGGAGACGGGAAACUCCUGCCUUUUAAACCACGCCCCUCACAGACCCUGGAAGAGCAGUCCCUCAGUUUUACCACGUGGACCAAUCUGGUCUCCAACUCCCGACCUCAAGUGAUCCACCAGCCUCGGCCUCCCAAAAUGCUGGGAUUACAGAAACGAGCCACUGCGCCUAGCUGAGUCGGGGUUUUGCAAUGUUGUCCAGGCUGAUCUUGAACUCCUGGGCUCAAGUGAUCCUUCUACGUCAGCCUCUGAAAAUGCUGGGAUUACAGACAUGGGCCACUGAGCCCAACCCCUGGGCUGCAUUGGAAAACUCAUACCUUCAAUUCAUCUUCGUCAUUAACCACGCCAAAGAUGGUACUGGAUUCAUGAAGUCUGACAAGGCAGAGUUUGGACAAUAACCUGUGGAAGGCCAUUGAAUUUCAGCACCAAUCACUGUGAAUCUAUUUACUUGUUACCAAAGCCUUUAAUUUACUGUGUUAAAUCACAGUUGUAAAAAUUGUCAACUCAAGUAUUUCCCAUCAACUAUAAAGCAUUAAAAUAUAAAUUAUAUUUUCAAAACUCACAUCUAUUAUUCUUUCUUAUUUCUUUCCUUUCUACUUUAUUUUUCCCCAGGAGUUGGGAAGAAUGGUUCAAGAGGGGGCUGCCUUUGAAGUUAUUUCAAUCUUUAUUCUAUCUAGUCUGUUCCUGAACUCAUUUAAUAUACUUGAUUUUUAAGUCAUAAUUAUAUUCUCCAGAUACUAAUUCAUGACAUCCUUCCUAAGAAUUGUUCAUUAAAAUCUAAUUUUUGC
RNAcentral lists this long non-coding RNA (1213 nucleotides) under Callithrix jacchus (white-tufted-ear marmoset). Its description in RNAcentral is "lncRNA (ENSCJAG00000081445.1)". Lineage: Eukaryota; Metazoa; Chordata; Mammalia; Primates; Cebidae. The record is from RNAcentral.